GACGAACGCUGGCGGCGUGCUUAACACAUGCAAGUCGAACGGUAAGGCCCCUUCGGGGGUACACGAGUGGCGAACGGGUGAGUAACACGUGGGUAAUCUGCCCUGCACUUCGGGAUAAGCCUGGGAAACCGGGUCUAAUACCGGAUAUGAACUCCUGCCGCAUGGUGGGGGUUGGAAAGUUUUUCGGUGCAGGAUGAGCCCGCGGCCUAUCAGCUUGUUGGUGGGGUAAUGGCCUACCAAGGCGACGACGGGUAGCCGGCCUGAGAGGGUGAUCGGCCACACUGGGACUGAGACACGGCCCAGACUCCUACGGGAGGCAGCAGUGGGGAAUAUUGCACAAUGGGCGAAAGCCUGAUGCAGCGACGCCGCGUGGGGGAUGACGGUCUUCGGAUUGUAAACCCCUUUCAGUAGGGACGAAGCGCAAGGGACGUACCUGCAGAA
Molecule: ribosomal RNA, 441 nt
Filed under: Dietzia sp. oral taxon 368
Lineage: Bacteria; Bacillati; Actinomycetota; Actinomycetes; Mycobacteriales; Dietziaceae
Description: bacterial SSU rRNA
Rfam family: Bacterial small subunit ribosomal RNA
Source: RNAcentral